Molecule: ribosomal RNA, 440 nt
Filed under: uncultured bacterium
Lineage: Bacteria
Description: partial 16S ribosomal RNA
Rfam family: Bacterial small subunit ribosomal RNA
Source: RNAcentral
CCUACGGGUGGCAGCAGUGGGGGAUAUUGCACAAUGGGGGAAACCCUGAUGCAGCGACGCCGCGUGAGUGAUGAAGUAUUUCGGUAUGUAAAGCUCUAUCAGCAGGGAAGAAAAUGACAGUACCUGACCAAGUAGCCCCGGCUAACUACGUGCCAGCAGCCGCGGUAAUACGUAGGGGGCAAGCGUUAAUCGGAUUUACUGGGUGUAAAGGGAGCGUAGGCGGUUAUGUAAGGCUGGAGUGAAAGCCCGGGGCUCAACCCCGGGAGUGCUUUGGAAACUGUGUAACUGGAGUGCAGGAGGGGCAGGCGGAAUUCCUGGUGUAGCGGUGAAAUGCGUAGAUAUCAGGAGGAACACCGGCGGCGAAGGCAGCCUGCUGGACUGAAACUGACGUUGAGGCUCGAAAGCGUGGGGAGCAAACAGGAUUAGAUACCCGGGUAGUC